GAUGAACGCUGGCGGCGUGCCUAAUACAUGCAAGUCGAGCGAACAGACGAGGAGCUUGCUCCUCUGACGUUAGCGGCGGACGGGUGAGUAACACGUGGAUAACCUACCUAUAAGACUGGGAUAACUUCGGGAAACCGGAGCUAAUACCGGAUAAUAUAUUGAACCGCAUGGUUCAAUAGUGAAAGACGGUUUUGCUGUCACUUAUAGAUGGAUCCGCGCCGCAUUAGCUAGUUGGUAAGGUAACGGCUUACCAAGGUAACGAUGCGUAGCCGACCUGAGAGGGUGAUCGGCGACACUGGAACUGAGACACGGUCCAGACUCCUACGGGAGGCAGCAGUAGGGAAUCUUCCGCAAUGGGCGAAAGCCUGACGGAGCAACGCCGCGUGAGUGAUGAAGGUCUUCGGAUCGUAAAACUCUGUUAUUAGGGAAGAACAAAUGUGUAAGUAACUAUGCACGUCUUGACGGUACCUAAUCAGAAAGCCACGGCUAACUACGUG
This 497-nucleotide ribosomal RNA is filed under the name uncultured bacterium. RNAcentral's name for it is "partial 16S ribosomal RNA". It matches the Rfam family "Bacterial small subunit ribosomal RNA", at positions 28 to 507 of the family's 1533-position model. The record is from RNAcentral.